This 334-nucleotide unclassified non-coding RNA is filed under the name soil metagenome. RNAcentral describes it as "partial contains 5.8S ribosomal RNA, internal transcribed spacer 2, and large subunit ribosomal RNA". The stretch from base 1 to 120 matches the Rfam family "5.8S ribosomal RNA", at positions 35 to 154 of the family's 154-position model. The record is from RNAcentral.
GAUGAAGAACGCAGCGAAAUGCGAUAAGUAAUGUGAAUUGCAGAAUUCAGUGAAUCAUCGAAUCUUUGAACGCACAUUGCGCCCGCCAGUAUUCUGGCGGGCAUGCCUGUUCGAGCGUUAUUUCAACCAUCAAGCCCUGCUUGCGUUGGGGUCCUGCGGCUGCCCGCAGGCCCUGAAAACCAGUGGCGGGCUCGCUAGUCACACCGAGCGCAGUAAUACAUCUCGCUUUGGGCGUGCGGCGGGUUCUUGCCGUUAAACACCCCCUUUUUACCAAGGUUGACCUCGGAUCAGGUAGGAAUACCCGCUGAACUUAAGCAUAUCAAUAAGCGGAGGA